This 530-nucleotide ribosomal RNA is filed under the name uncultured bacterium. Its description in RNAcentral is "bacterial SSU rRNA". It matches the Rfam family "Bacterial small subunit ribosomal RNA", at positions 777 to 1304 of the family's 1533-position model. The record is from RNAcentral.
AAUAGAUACCCAGGUAGUCCACGCCGUAAACGAUGAAUGCUAGGUGUUAGGGGUUUCGAUACCCUUGGUGCCGAAGUUAACACAUUAAGCAUUCCGCCUGGGGAGUACGGUCGCAAGACUGAAACUCAAAGGAAUUGACGGGGACCCGCACAGGCAGUGGAGUAUGUGGUUUAAUUCGAAGCAACGCGAAGAACCUUACCAGGUCUUGACAUCCCUCUGACCGGUCCAGAGAUGGGCCUUUCCUUCGGGACAGAGGAGACAGGUGGUGCAUGGUUGUCGUCAGCUCGUGUCGUGAGAUGUUGGGUUAAGUCCCGCAACGAGCGCAACCCUUGGGUCUAGUUGCCAGCACGUUGGGGUGGCACUCUAGAUCGACUGCCGGUGACAAACCGGNGGAAGGCGGGGAUGACGUCAAAGUCAUCAUGCCCCUUAUGACCUGGGCUACACACGUACUACAAUGGCCGUUACAAAGGGAAGCGAAGCCGCGAGGCGGAGCCAAUCCCAGCAAAGGCGGUCUCAGUUCGGAUUGCAGG